RNAcentral lists this ribosomal RNA (855 nucleotides) under Ramularia collo-cygni. Its description in RNAcentral is "eukaryotic LSU rRNA". It matches the Rfam family "Eukaryotic large subunit ribosomal RNA", at positions 45 to 931 of the family's 3401-position model. The record is from RNAcentral. Lineage: Eukaryota; Fungi; Ascomycota; Dothideomycetes; Mycosphaerellales; Mycosphaerellaceae.
AAUAAGCGGAGGAAAAGAAACCAACAGGGAUUGCCCUAGUAACGGCGAGUGAAGCGGCAACAGCUCAAAUUUGAAAUCUGGCGCAAGCCCGAGUUGUAAUUUGUAGAGGAUGCUUCUAGGUAGCGACCGGUCUAAGUUCCUUGGAACAGGACGUCAUAGAGGGUGAGAAUCCCGUAUGUGACCGGCCCGCACCUUCUACGUAGCUCCUUCGAAGAGUCGAGUUGUUUGGGAAUGCAGCUCUAAAUGGGAGGUAAAUUUCUUCUAAAGCUAAAUACCGGCCAGAGACCGAUAGCGCACAAGUAGAGUGAUCGAAAGAUGAAAAGCACUUUGGAAAGAGAGUUAAAAAGCACGUGAAAUUGUUGAAAGGGAAGCGCUUACAACCAGACUUCUGGGCGGUGUUCCGCCGGUCUUUUGACCGGUCUACUCUCCGUCCCGAGGCCAACAUCAUCUGGGACCGCUGGAUAAGACCUUAGGAAUGUAGCUCCCCUCGGGGAGUGUUAUAGCCUCUGGUGAUGCAGCGCGUCCCGGGUGAGGUCCGCGCUUCGGCAAGGAUGUUGGCGUAAUGGUUGUCAGCGGCCCGUCUUGAAACACGGACCAAGGAGUCUAACAUCUAUGCGAGUGUUCGGGUGUCAAACCCCUACGCGUAAUGAAAGUGAACGGAGGUGGGAAGCGCAAGCUGCACCAUCGACCGAUCCUGAUGUCCUCGGAUGGAUUUGAGUAAGAGCAUAGCUGUUGGGACCCGAAAGAUGGUGAACUAUGCCUGAAUAGGGUGAAGCCAGAGGAAACUCUGGUGGAGGCUCGCAGCGGUUCUGACGUGCAAAUCGAUCGUCAAAUUUGGGUAUAGGGGCGAAAGAC